RNAcentral lists this ribosomal RNA (746 nucleotides) under uncultured bacterium. RNAcentral's name for it is "bacterial SSU rRNA". It matches the Rfam family "Bacterial small subunit ribosomal RNA", at positions 8 to 796 of the family's 1533-position model. The record is from RNAcentral.
AGAGUUUGAUCCUGGCUCAGAGCGAACGCUGGCGGCAUGCUUAACACAUGCAAGUCGCACGGGCAGGGCAACCUGUCAGUGGCGGACGGGUGAGUAACGCGUAGGAAUCUAUCUCCGGGUGGGGGACAACCGUGGGAAACUACGGCUAAUACCGCAUGAUACCUGAGGGUCAAAGGCGCAAGUCGCCUGGAGAGGAGCCUGCGUCCGAUUAGCUUGUUGGUGGGGUAAAGGCCUACCAAGGCUCCGAUCGGUAGCUGGUCUGAGAGGAUGAUCAGCCACACUGGGACUGAGACACGGCCCAGACUCCUACGGGAGGCAGCAGUGGGGAAUAUUGGACAAUGGGCGAAAGCCUGAUCCAGCAAUGCCGCGUGGGUGAAGAAGGUCUUCGGAUUGUAAAGCCCUUUCGGCGGGGACGAUGAUGACGGUACCCGCAGAAGAAGCCCCGGCUAACUUCGUGCCAGCAGCCGCGGUAAUACGAAGGGGGCUAGCGUUGCUCGGAAUGACUGGGCGUAAAGGGCGCGUAGGCGGUUCGUACAGUUGGAUGUGAAAUUCCUGGGCUCAACCUGGGGGCUGCAUUCAAUACGUGCGAGCUUGAGUUCGGAAGAGGGUCGUGGAAUUCCCAGUGUAGAGGUGAAAUUCGUAGAUAUUGGGAAGAACACCGGUGGCGAAGGCGGCGACCUGGUCCGAUACUGACGCUGAGGCGCGAAAGCGUGGGGAGCAAACAGGAUUAGAUACCCCCGUAGUCC